Molecule: unclassified non-coding RNA, 240 nt
Filed under: Helotiales sp.
Lineage: Eukaryota; Fungi; Ascomycota; Leotiomycetes; Helotiales
Description: partial contains 5.8S ribosomal RNA, internal transcribed spacer 2, and large subunit ribosomal RNA
Rfam family: 5.8S ribosomal RNA (bases 1-52)
Source: RNAcentral
AACGCACAUUGCGCCCUUUGGUAUUCCGAAGGGCAUGCCUGUUCGAGCGUCAUUAUAACCACUCAAGCCUUUGCUUGGUAUUGGGGUUCCCAGAUUUGGGGCCCUUAAAACUAGUGGCGGUGCUGGUAAGCUCUACGCGUAGUAAUACUUUUCGCGAUUGAGUCUUGCUGGUGGCUAGCCAACCACCCCCAAUUUUUACAGGUUGACCUCGGAUCAGGUAGGGAUACCCGCUGAACUUAA